Molecule: ribosomal RNA, 459 nt
Filed under: uncultured bacterium
Lineage: Bacteria
Description: partial 16S ribosomal RNA
Rfam family: Bacterial small subunit ribosomal RNA
Source: RNAcentral
CCUACGGGUGGCAGCAGUGAGGAAUAUUGGUCAAUGGCCGGAAGGCUGAACCAGCCAAGCCGCGUGAAGGACGAAGGUGCCAAGCAUUGUAAACUUCUUUUGUCAAGGGACAAAAUCAGGCUCGAGAGCCUGACCGAGGGUACUUGAAGAAAAAGCAUCGGCUAACUCCGUGCCAGCAGCCGCGGUAAUACGGAGGAUGCGAGCGUUAUCCGGAUUUAUUGGGUUUAAAGGGUGCGUAGAUGGCAUAGUAAGUCUUUUGUAAAAAUGCUGGGCUCAACCCAGUAGGGCAAAAGAUACUGCAAAGCUAGAGUAUGACAGAGGCAAGUGGAACUACAUGUGUAGCGGUAAAAUGCGUAAAUAUAUGUAAGAACACCAGUGGCGAAGGCGGCUUGCUGGGUCGAUACUGACAUUGAGGCACGAAAGCGUGGGGAGCAAACAGGAUUAGAUACCCUAGUAGUC